UACGUAGGCAGCGAGCGUUGUUCGGAGUUACUGGGCGUAAAGAGUGCGUAGGCGGUUUUCUAAGUUUGGUGUGAAAUCUCCCGGCUCAACUGGGAGAGUGCGCCGAAGACUGGAAGGCUUGAGUAUGGGAGAGGUAAGCGGAAUUCCUGGUGUAGCGGUGAAAUGCGUAGAUAUCAGGAGGAACACCUGCGGUGUAGACGGCUUACUGGACCAUAACUGACGCUGAGGUGCGAAAGCGUGGGGAGCAAACAGG
RNAcentral lists this ribosomal RNA (253 nucleotides) under uncultured bacterium. Its description in RNAcentral is "partial 16S ribosomal RNA". It matches the Rfam family "Bacterial small subunit ribosomal RNA", at positions 524 to 776 of the family's 1533-position model. The record is from RNAcentral.